CCCUUAGAUGUUCUGGGCCGCACGCGCGCUACACUGAUUCAUGCAACAAGUUUUGUCCUUGGCUGAUAGGCCUGGGUAAUCUUUGAACGUGAAUCGUGAUGGGGAUAGAUGAUUGCAAUUAUUCAUCUUCAACGAGGAAUUCCUAGUAAACGCAAGUCAUCAGCUUGCAUUGAUUACGUCCCUGCCCUUUGUACACACCGCCCGUCGCACCUACCGAUUGAAUGGUCCGGUGAAAUCUUCGGAUCUGAGAGAUGUCUGAUUAAUUUCGGACGCCUUUUGGAAAAGUUGUUUAAACCUUACCAUUUAGAGGAAGGUGAANUCGUANCA
Molecule: ribosomal RNA, 327 nt
Filed under: uncultured eukaryote
Lineage: Eukaryota
Description: partial 18S ribosomal RNA
Rfam family: Eukaryotic small subunit ribosomal RNA
Source: RNAcentral